This 63-nucleotide transfer RNA is filed under the name Novacerus sp. FZ-2019. RNAcentral's name for it is "tRNA-Phe". Lineage: Eukaryota; Metazoa; Arthropoda; Collembola; Entomobryomorpha; Tomoceridae. The record is from RNAcentral.
ACUCAAAUAGCUUAAGUGAGAGCGUGAUGUUGAAGUUAUCAAGGUAAUAAUUUUUUUUGAGUA